CACAGUCCAGGGGAGGAAACAGCCCAGGAGGGAAUUUCAGCAGAGCAUGAUGCAAGCUGCGAUAAGGGCACUGAAGAAACAGAAGCGAAUAUCAUAGACCUAGACUCUGCUUUCCUGGGACCUGAGGGGGCACAGAUCCUAAAUCAAAGGAUCUCACAAUAAAACACAGACAGUGAGAAGCGCUGUCAGGGAAGGCUUCUCUAAGGAGGUUCCACGAUUCCAGAACAUCUACGAUUGCUCGGUCUCAGGCUUUUCCUGUCCUAGGAGACAGCGGUGAUCUGUUGGGGAUGGAUCAAGGCCCCUUGGCACCCCACCCUUCUGCUGCCGGCACUAUCGACCCAUUUCACAGCAGUAGAAACUGAGGUCUGUGAGGUAAACAGGCUGCCCAAGGCAAAAGAUUUGCAAGUACCUGCACCCCUGAGCUGCGCUUGACCUGAACUCCUGGGACAACCCCACCAUUUCCUCUGCCAUCAGAGGCAACUGGGUCCUGGCCCUCUCUCACACCCAGCUGCAAUUUCCUGCCUCCAUAUGCCCUGCGCCUGGCUCGGUGCUAGUCUCAGAAAUGUUGGUUGUACCAGACAGAAUCUACAAGCCCAAAGAGCUAUGCUGUCCUUGAAUUAUCUCUCAGCAUCCUUAGCCUUCUUCCUUAUCCUCUGCCAGCCAACCAGAAGGAAACGCAACAUGGCCAUUGCAUCCCUAAGUCCUCCUCUCGCUACCAGGGCGAGAAGCAGGUGACAAGCAUAGGCAAUGUGAAGGAGGGGACAGAAGCGGGUCUGGAGCCCCAGAGCCCCAGGUUCUCAUGCCUUGGCUGUGUAACUUUGGACAUGAGUCCUCCCCUCUCUGAGUCUCGGUUUCCUCAUCUGUAGAAUGGGUACAAUCAUCACAAUGUCCACUCCUUCAGUUGAUAUGCAGAAUAGAGAGAGCAUGGGUAGAGCACUAGGCAUGGAUCAGGUCUCAGAAAAUGAGAACCAUCCCCGCUAGGUGGGGGUGGGGGUGGUGGCUGAACCCCUCUCUCCCCACCCCAGUCCUUCAAGCCCAGUUUGGCUCUUCUUGGUCAAUGGUGAGCUCCUCAUGAGACAGUAUAGUGGUUAUGAGCAUGAGCCCUGGGGUCAGCUGCCUGGCGUCAAAUCCUGCCUCUGCCACAUGUUAGCUGCCUGAUCGCAGACUUAAGUGACAGAAGCGCUCUGGGACUUAGUCUCUCCACGCAAGAAGUAGAUGUAUAAUAAUCCCCACCUCUUUGAACUGUUGUGAUGAUCAAAUGAAUUUACAAAUGUAAAGGCUAGGAUCCUGCCAGGCACACGAUGAGAGCUUAUAGAAGUGUUUGCUGCGCUUCGGGGAUUGAGGGGGAGAGGGGUCCUGGUGGCUUUUGCACAAUUUACAAGGAUCUCAGGGCCAGGGAUGGAAUAGGGGAGCUGGGGACAAAUCCUGAUCUGAACUGGGGGUGGAUUUUCAAAAGCAAGGCCACCAUACUGGGAAAAGGGCUUUUCCCCUGAAGGGCUUCACCACAUCCGGCCUCCCCGGGAGCCCAGCGUGGUGCUUGAACAUCUUUGUAAGGGGGAGCUCCAUCCUUCCGGUUGCUCAGCUCAGCCUCAAACCUUGGAGUCAUCCCUGAGGUUUGAUGUCUGCCACACUGGCUCCAGCAGUGUCCUGUCAACCCUUACAACAGAUCUAGAACAUGAAACGGUGGCCUUCCCGCUGCCUCCACACCUCCAGUGUCCACCCCUGGGCCUGGUCACCAGCAUCUUUGGCCUGGACCAUUGCUGUCACCUCCUCCCUGACUGGUCCAUUCUCCACACACAGUCAGGGGGGUUCUUUCAGAAUCUGGGUCAGAAUAUGCUGACGUGCUCAGGACCCUCUGUGGUCCCCAUCUGUCGCAGCGGAAAGCCUGGGUCUUCCUAGGACGUGCAAGGCCCUCCAAGAUCUGGCCCCCUCUCUGCCCUCACUGUCUCCCACGCUGCCCCUCGCUCACAGUGGCCCGGCCACGCCAGCUUCCCCAUCAUCCUCACAUGUGCUGGGCACAAUCCAGCCUCGGGGCCUUUGCACUUGCCGCUUUCCUCUGCCGGGAAGGCUCUUCCUCAGAUAUCCCCGUUGCUCAAGCCCUCAUCUCUUUCAAGUUUGUCCUCAAAUAUUUGCUCAGCGAGGCCUGCCCUGGCCCUGCUCCCGCAUUAGACCUGUACUUCUCUGAGACACUCCAUCUCCCUUUCCUGGUUUAUUUUUCUUCUUAGCACUCAUGCUAAGGAGACACAUCUGAAAUACAAUAUAUUCAAUCUACCUGUUAACGUGUAUUGCCGGCUGCCCCCAACUCCAAAAUGUCAGCAGGAGCAGGUUUUGGACAUAAGUGGGAGCGGCCUCUUAGCACUUGCUGAGGCCUGGACACUGUUCCAGGGACUCCAGACCCAGCAGAGCGAACCACUGGGUCCCUGACUUCUCUCGACACUUCAGCCUCAUGGAAUUGAAUCCAGCGCCGCCAGGAACCGAGCAGGAAACUUUGAACCAGUGAGGGCGUGGCUCCUCGGCCUUAGUUUCCCCAUCUGUGAAUGGGAAGGCAAUCCCUCCCUCCCAAGGCUUUUGUGAGGCUCAAUGAGCAAAUGUCUCGGAAGCAUCUGGCACCCUGUGGGCCCUCCCUUAGAGCUCUGUCCCCGCUGUCCAGCCUCCGUGCUGGCUGUCCCCCAGGGAACUGUCCUGUGAGCGUUAUUUUUAACCGUGGCUCCGGCGGGCUGGGCAGCGGCUCUGCAGGCGGAGGGAGACCACAGGGCCAGCCACAUCCCGGUUCUCCCCUGACUCCGGGAGACUGCGGCGUGGAAACAUCAGGGGAGGCCGCCCUGUGUUCAUACUCUGCCCCGUAACCCUUUAUGUGAAAUUAUGUCAUGUCACCCGAUGCUGUUUACAAACUUAGCGCUGACCUUUCUCAAGCAGGGCGCUGGGGGAAGGGGCUACAGCCCAGUCUCCCCACUGCUCCACCUCUACCAGGAAUGGUUGGUGGCCCCUCCUGUUAGCCCACAUUUCCACGGAGCAAAGUUGGGGGGCUGGCCUCUGGCCAGACUUUGCCCGUUUGUUUUAACAACUCCGAGUGCUCGCAGCUGACCAGCCCUGGGGUAUUUUUAAACCCUGGCCUGGGCCAACCUCUUUGUCACAUUCUGGUCGGGCUUGGAUUGAACACAUGCCCCAGUUCGGGUAGCUGAGGCUCGGGAGUCGUUUGACAACAAACAUUUAACCAAAUUCCAGGACCUGUGAGCCUACUGUGUGCCGGGCUCUAUAGCAGGAACAGAAGGCUCAGAGGGCCUAAGUCACAGAGCCUGUCCUCAAGGUGGCCUCAAUCCAGAGGGGACACUGUGACACAUGCUAGAAUGGAGGCUAAGACAGCAAUUACAACUCAAAUACCUACAGGGCCAGCGGGUUAUGUAAAUGAAUGAAGGGGGCCUGGUGUGUGGCGACUGGGAGGGGUGGGGCCGAGCUGAGCUGGCAAGCUCACGACCUGUCUGAAGGGGGCGGCCGCUCCUCAGCUCUGACCUCUGUCGUCACAAGGGAAUCCAGCCCAGUGUGCCCAGAGCUUCUGAAUUUCCAAGAGAAGCUGCAAAUCCAGAUUUAUGUGGAAUUUCAUGCAAAAGUCUCAUGACUUUUAAAUGCUGGCAAUAAAUUUUUUAAAAAUGUUAAAAACAUCCUGAGAGCCAAAUGAAACCCGUUUGUGGGCUGCACUCAGCACACAGAGUCAAGUUGAUGGGGCAAACAGUUUGUGCUUUCUGAUGCAAACAGAUGCAUUAUAAAAUGUUUGGCAAAUACAAGCUGAGCACCUACUAUGGGCUCCUUCUACUGUUCCAGAGCCGAAGAAGCAGCAGGAACCAAGAUGGACCAUAUCCCUGUCCUCAUCUGCGUGUAUCCAGUGAUGUGUUGGGGCUGGCUGGUACGAGCUGGCAAAUUCUGCAAGCUGGUUUCUACACAGCCAUCAUUAAAAAUUAAAUUAUUUGAUCUUACAUUUAAAUAAAUGAUAAUACAAA
RNAcentral lists this long non-coding RNA (3995 nucleotides) under Sus scrofa (pig). Its description in RNAcentral is "lncRNA (ENSSSCG00030004771.1)". Lineage: Eukaryota; Metazoa; Chordata; Mammalia; Artiodactyla; Suidae. The record is from RNAcentral.